This 274-nucleotide ribosomal RNA is filed under the name uncultured bacterium. RNAcentral describes it as "partial 16S ribosomal RNA". It matches the Rfam family "Bacterial small subunit ribosomal RNA", at positions 523 to 796 of the family's 1533-position model. The record is from RNAcentral.
ACACGGGGGGCGCAAGCGUUAUUCGGAAUUAUUGGGCGUAAAGGGCGCGUAGGCGGUCUUGUCGGUCAGAUGUGAAAGCCCAGGGCUCAACCUUGGACGUGCAUUUGAAACAGCAAGACUGGAGUACGGGAGAGGAAAGCGGAAUUCCUGGUGUAGAGGUGAAAUUCGUAGAUAUCAGGAGGAACACCGAUGGCGAAGGCAGCUUUCUGGACCGAUACUGACGCUGAGGCGCGAAGGCGUGGGUAGCGAACAGGAUUAGAAACCCCGGUAGUCC